Molecule: RNA transcript, 695 nt
Organism: Tribolium castaneum (red flour beetle)
Lineage: Eukaryota; Metazoa; Arthropoda; Insecta; Coleoptera; Tenebrionidae
Exons: 3
Source: RefSeq, a predicted model, not a curated record
CAGGCCUGAACAACGAAGUUGUCUCCAUACAUCAAGGAGGCCAUGAAUUAUAAUAGCGAGUUGGUUUACCUGUCUGUCUCUAUAUCGUGUGGCGUAAUUCACUUCGAUUUUUGGUAAAGUUGCCUCAGCAAUCCAAAAAACUUGCUGUGCAGACCUACAAUUCCCUUCAGUGGGCCCCUUUCCGAGACAGUGGACUCCAACGCUUUAUCUCAACUACUCCAAAGUUAGCAAUGGUUAUUCAGACUCAAGAGACCCCAAAUCCAAACAGUCUCAAGUUUUUGCCAGGGGUUAAAAUUCUAGAGGAGGGCCAAACUAUAGAUUUUCCUAACAGACAAGCGGCUUAUUGUUCACCUUUGGGAUACUUACUUUUCCAAAUUAAAAGUGUUAAAAGUGUUUCUCUGGGACCGGAAUUUAUCACUGUUACUAAAACCGAUGAUAAAAUUGAAUGGAUAGUUAUUAAACCUGAGAUUUCGGCCACAAUUAUGGACUUUUUUGACAGCGGAUUACCGGUCUUGAAUGACGCCACCCCGAACGCAGACACGCAAAUCAACGAAGAUGAUUCCAUAUGACGGUUUUCUCACGAAAAGCAGUUUUAAAUAAGUGUAAAGUAAAAAGAAAGUACUAGGGCGUAAUUAACGAUUAUGGUUGUAUGUAAUUGAAGGGUGGAGAUAAAAAAAUAAACUAAAUUAAAUGUU